AGCCCUCUGCGAGGCCCCUUGCCGCCGAGGUGGGGGGACGAGCAGGGGGCUCCCAAGGGGGGUGAAGUCGUAACAAGGUAGCCGUAGGGGAACCUGCGGCUGGAUCACCUC
RNAcentral lists this ribosomal RNA (111 nucleotides) under uncultured Thermoproteales archaeon. RNAcentral's name for it is "partial 16S ribosomal RNA". It matches the Rfam family "Eukaryotic small subunit ribosomal RNA", at positions 1693 to 1831 of the family's 1831-position model. The record is from RNAcentral. Lineage: Archaea; Thermoproteati; Thermoproteota; Thermoprotei; Thermoproteales.